Molecule: long non-coding RNA, 1157 nt
Filed under: Astyanax mexicanus (Mexican tetra)
Lineage: Eukaryota; Metazoa; Chordata; Actinopteri; Characiformes; Acestrorhamphidae
Description: lncRNA (ENSAMXG00005012873.1)
Source: RNAcentral
ACUUUGUUCACAGGGGGUUCACACACAGCACCAAGCCCUCAAGAGCCAUCAAAUAUCAACAACUAUACUGUGAUGGUGGCUGUAACAUCAACAGUCUUUGCCUGUUUGCUUGUGGCUCUAGUGCUGGCCCUGGUGAAAAUCCGCCUCUGUGUCAGAAAACAGAAAAUCCAAAACACGCGCAAAAUUGAGCUUGAGAGCCAGUAUGCUGCGUAUGCAGAAAUUGUGGACAUUGAGUACCCAUAUUCUGUAGUCCAUCAUGUUCCUGAGGGCAUGUGCACAUUUAAGGACCAGUGAGAAGAUCUCAGCCCACAUAGCUAAAUGUGGCUAUAUGAGUGGCAUACGUGACAAGAUCUGUUUUUGUUCUUUUGUAAUUCUCUUUUUUAUAUUUUAAGAAAUGUUUAAAUAAUUAAGUAUCUUGUUUUGUCACAGGGCCCUUUAUGAUAUUGUAUAUAAAUGUUAAGUUCAUUAUGUUCAGAACAACAUAUUGUUUUUAAUAACUGCAUGUUUUGUGUGGUUUAUUGUGAUUAGACACAAGGAAAAAAAUGUAACUUAAUCUAAGGCAGUCUGAUAAGAAAACAAACAAACUAACAAAAUAUAUAUAUAUUAUGCACAAAUCAACAAGAAAUGAGUUCCAUCUACUACAGUAUAGGACAUGCAGUGUAUGAUACAUGAUUAGGAAGACAUCAUGAUCUUUAAAGGUCUUUAGUUCAGGGAUUUUUCCUAACAAUUUUUAAAACUUAAACUAAUCUAAAUAUGAUGUUUGUUUUAAUGUUAAUGUGUUUACUUGUGAAUUAUUGUACAUUUUUGUAAGAUAAAAUCAUCCUAAUUGACAAGUUAAAUUUUGACUUUUCUUUUUUUUCAGUGAUAGUGAUAAUUCACAAAUAACAGUAGUCCUACUAUCCUAGAGGUGGACCCACACCAACUAAAACAUCAUUUAAAAAUGUUUGGGGGCUCAAGUAAAUUAGUUAAUACAUAAACAUAUGUAUUUUUAAUUUAUUUAGAUGUAUGAACAAAUCACAGAGCUCUUUGCUCAUCAAGUUUUUUUUUUUGGAUGCAGCUUACAGUGAUGCACAUACAUACAGCCAAACAAAUGAUAAAACUAAAGAAGCAAGUAAAUCAAAAACAACAUUAAUAAAGUAUAGAUUAAACUUAAAACA